Molecule: long non-coding RNA, 6461 nt
Filed under: Coffea arabica (coffee)
Lineage: Eukaryota; Viridiplantae; Streptophyta; Magnoliopsida; Gentianales; Rubiaceae
Description: long non-coding RNA (CARA_LNC001623)
Source: RNAcentral
UUAACAAGACUUUCAAAUCAAAAUGGAUUAAAGCAAACAAUUCUGAUCGUGAAUAAGAUUUUUGAGCUGUAAUUCCAUCUCCAAUGCACCCCUCACCGCAUGUCUCUUUGAGCACAAUAGUCUUCAACAAAUCCAGCUCCUCAAUCAAGGAAUUGAUUGUCCUUUCAACAACUUCUUCAUUAACAUGCUGCAGUAAGAAGAUAUAGGUAGCAGCAGCACUUCCAGUUACUAACUGAUUUGGAUGCAGACGCAAUUGAGAUAUAGGGGCAUCAAAUCCUAUUAUCUUUUCAGCAGAUGAUGGGAGAAGCCCAUGCUUUUGAAGCGACAGCAACUGUAAAUUAGUUUUAAGAACCCCAUGAACCUGAAAGGAAGUAAUAUUUACAGUCCUUGUGAGUUGGACUGUAUUCCGCAUGUCCAAGCUCUGAAACAAAAUAUCAACCGCAAUAGGGAAAAAUGUUGAAAACCUAUCGCCUAAAAUUUCUGCUAACAAAGUCAAGCACUUCCAAGAAUCCUGAAUCCAUUUUGACCAACCAUAUUUCCUUCCAAUCUGUGAUAAACAUCCUAAUAAAAGAGGAACCAUUUUGCAAAGAGGUUCAGUAAUCUGUCCCAGCAUAUUCAUUUCCAGCAAACCAGAUGCUACAGACUUCAAAACUGUAGAAAAGCAAGAUAGUAAAGCAAGUAAUCUUUGAAAUUGCUGUGGAGUACCAGGACUUCCAUCCUGAAGUAACACAUCCAUGUCUCCUAGAAACUUUGAUAGCAAUCCCAAGGAGAACUGCAUGUUAUUUACCCAGUGUUUCUGAAAUUGCAAGAAACUGUCCAUAAUCACACUCCGAUCUGAUUCUGCCAGGUCAGGCACCAUUGCCCACCCAAGGAGCAGAUCAACAAUGUCAACAAAGUGAGGCUGGAAACAUCUAGAAAAGUUUAAAGAAAUUAUAGUUAAAACAGCAAGAAGUCUGUGCAGUAAAAUCAGGGAGGUUCUCUCAUCUUCGAGAAGUUCCUGGCAUGCUUUGAGAACAGGCAAGGCAUAUCUUUCGACUGCCCCAACAUCUCCAACACUAAGAAAUUCUCGUAGAGCUUCCAAAGCCAGCUCCGCUGUCGCAUUUCCUAUAUUGAUAAGCAGUGGCAAUGCCCAACCCAUGAACCGGUCAACCAAGCCACUGAGUAUAACAUGAUUCUGCCUUCCAUUUGAUGCUAGAGGGACUGAACACAGUACAGAGCACAAAGCCCCAUAUGCUGUGGCUGCUGACUGCCGUACCAAAUAUGAUCUAAGCAACACAGUGAAAGCAAAAGAUAAAUCAACAGAAAUGAAGUAUAUUAUCCUGAUCAUUAACUGGUCAAUAUCCACUCAAAAUUUAAAGACCCUUUAUUACAAUGAAUACAAGUAAUUACAUCCUAUUAAAGUGCAAGGUAUGUGAUGCACUUGGCCCAUCAACAGAACCAACUGGAAUGUAGGUUGUAUAACAAAUUGCUAUUCUUGUGCCAUCCAAGAACAAAUGUUUGAUAGAUUGAGAUGGAAUAAACUUCAAUUUUUUUUUUUAAUGAAUUGCAUAAGCUAUUGAAACAUAACAAGACAAGUCACGUGAAUACACUCUGAUGCCAAAUCUGCAGCUAAUUUUUAAUGGAAAGUUUCAAAUCAUUAGUCACAUAUAUUUUCAACCACUGUUGACAUGAACAUGGAUUAACAAACUUAUUUCGGUGGCCCAGUGGAUCUUUUAUCUUUCCCCUCAAAUACCUAUCCUUUACAAGAAACUUGUAAUUGUGCAGAUUCUAGUUGCUGAAUUUAAUUUCAAGCAUAUCUCUCAUGAUUUUAAACCACUCCUUGAAGCAAAUCAGAAUUAGUUUGAUAAUAAAUGCAACUACAGUGGAGAUCAAUGACUACAUGCUAGACUUAACUAGCUUGGAAAUAAUCAGGGGAUGGACACUAAUUUCAGCAAAAUCAGACGCCAAAAGACACAACUGACUGGAGUUUUAGAGGAAGAGUUGGUCUUUACAAUUUUCCUUAACCAAAAAUUCUCUAUGCAGAUAAAGCUCCAAUUCCAGAGCUGUGCACCCAGUUUAAACUUCUUAACCAGACUAUCCUAGCAUAGAAUAAUGACAAAGCAAUACGAGAUGAACAUCACCACUACUACUGUCCAAAUAUUUUUUAACAACUAAACGAAAGAAAGAGCAGGAAAGAGAACUCUUGUCAGAGAAGGAAAAUUUUGCUUUACCAAACAAGCCAGUAUCUUUUGAAGCUCCUCAGGAAUUUCCUUCUCUUGGGUGUUUGCAUCAACUAGAGCAGGGUACACAAUAGACCAAGGAGAUAGUUUUGACAGCUUGACCAGUAAAGUUUCUAGCUGUCUCCUAACUACUUGUUCUGGAUGACAACUUAAUCGUGCAAAUAGUUGAGGUGUUAUCUCCUUCAAAAAAAAAUAAUUAUUAGAAAAUCAUCCACCAACAUUGGUAUGACAUCCUAAAAGCGUAACUCACCUGCCAUGGUAGCAAAGGAACAGUUGAAAGUGCAGGUUCAAGAGUAUCUUCCAACUCAACGCCAUAGUUGAGAAGAAUAUUUAAGACGUAUAAAGUUGCCCUCAUUGUGUAGCUCAUGGACUUAUGAUUUGAGUGAUGCAGGCCAGAUAGUUGACAAUCAGAGUACAUGGAAGAUGAAUACGAAAGGUAAUUGAUGAAAGCUUGAGCUGCUUGACCAAAGAGGGAUACCCUUCUUCUUCUCAAAGACCGCCAAAGAUCAGUUAUAUCAUCAAUCAAGGAUGUUACUGCUGGAUCAUCAAGGGCAAUCUUUGCACUGGCUAAGGACUUCUGCAAUUUAGAUUUUAGCAUAGCAGAAAGGGUUUCACCACUAUGAUCUUCAGCUCCAGGUGCUCCUGCUGUAGCUUCAAGAAUAUCUGUUAUUUGCUCAGACAAAGAUUUGACAUUCUCCUUCUGCCAACAUUCUGAGACAACAAAAUUUUCCAUAUUCUCAUUUAGAACUUCUAACGAUCUUUUCUGUAGGAGCUCUGAGACAAUGUCUUUCACUUUUAGCUGCUCUAUCUCGGUUAAACUUAAGCUUUGAUGAUGGAUUUCAGAAUGAAAAGCAGAUGAAACGGAAGAAGAAUGAAGGAGAGCUUCAUUAUCUGCAGAAAGAAAUGAUCUUGCCCGAGCAUAACACCAAGAGGCAUAUGAAAUCCAUGACUUCCCCAUAUUAAGGCAGAGUCGAGUAGAUAGCUCCCUUGCAGCACCCACAAAUUCCUCAGUAAUAGCAUCAAUAUUAGGUUUAGCACUCAGAGCAUCAUUUCUAAAGCUAGAAAACCCUCUGCCAGAGUCAAACGUGUCAGUAUUAAUAAAAUCUUCUCUAAACUUCAGAACGACAUCUUUCAACCUUGGAUCUGAAUAAUUUUGUUCCAACCAAUUUGACAGUUUUAAACAUGCCUUUGCCUUCAAGACAUUGUCAAAAGAAUCAGAAGAAACAAUUGCAGAAGAAAGCAUGCUAGGACGUACAAGUGACCACAUAUUGGAAAAUGCAUCAUCAAGCUUGCCUUCACUGUGCAUCAACAGGAUGUCCUCAUACUGCAAACUGGAGAUGAUAUAAUCACGAAAGUCGGUGUCAGGGCAAUUUGCUACAUUCUCCUUAAGGUAGUUGCUUAGACGAUUUGCCAACACCAAAUUUCUUUGCUUGCGAGAUAAGUUCAACAAGUUAUUACAUAGCUUGAGAGUCGCAGGUGAUGUUGGUUGAGUAUUUUGGUAAACUCGGAGUACUUUUAGCCAUAAACUGCAAUCUUGAUGAACUCGAUUAAUCGGGGACUGAACUGCUUGAAUAUAUGAUCCUAAUAAUGACUCUAAAUGAUUGUCUUGGCUGCCCCGCAUCUGGUACUUUUCCUCCAAUGCCAGUAUGCAGUAUAAAUGGUUGACAUGUGGUGCAGCAUCAGAGAGACCAUCGAGGGGAAGAACAGAUAGUGUUUCCUCCAGUAUUGACUUGGCUUUCUGCAAUUCGUGAGGUACCUUGUCCACUUUCCCCUCCUUCUGGAAAAGCAUUGCCUGCAAAAGCAUUUGCUCACUCCUUUGCAAGGCUAACUUGGGAUCAAGUGUGAGUUCAUUGCUACUUUUUGGUGUCAAAUCAAGGCAUGCCCAUGAUGCCUGAACAUCGCCCUCAUCAAAACGGGCUAAUGCUUGGACGGAGUUUAUUUCAUUUCCUGCAGUAGUUAGAGCACCAGAGUAGCUCUUUCCUGCAUGCUUUGAUCGUAGUGCUUGCAGCUCCAACAACCAGGAUUCCAAAGCUUUCCAAUCAGAAACUGCAGUAUAACUCUCAAUAAUACGAGCAAUAGCAAACUGUACUCCUUCAGAACCCAUAGAACUGAGUGAAUCAUCGGUCUGUAGCAGAUGUAUAAAAUGUGCUGCAGCCUUCUCAUGUUGGCCCUUUGCCUGAUAUACUAGUCCAGUUAUCCAUGAAAAUUGUUCUAGAAUCUCACUAUCACUUAACCUUUGAUUGUCCUCAGCAAACAAUGGAAAGAAUGCCAUGCUUGUCCACUUUUGUAGACCAAUUAAUGCCUCUGAUUCAUGAUUCUUACAGAGAGCUAAUGCCAUGUGCCGUACAACCCUCAAAAUUUCUCCAUCAAACCUACCCCUGAUACUCUGGACAACUUCACUCACCUGGACUCUUGAAUUGUCCGUGAAAGAUGAAGCAACAAAAUUCUUAAGCUCUCGUAAACGCAGUGUGCAGUAUUGGAUUGUAGCAUCAUGACACUGGAGUGCCAAUCCAGCAUUCAUCAUUGGUUCACAUAUGCGAGAAAACCACUCCUCACAGACUUUCUUAUUUGCACGGAAGAACAAAGAGCUCUGCCUAGAUGGACAGGGCAAAACUGUUGAUCCUUCAUAUGCAUUGUACACAUUUUUCUUCAGAGCCUCAACAAAAUCUAGCAACAGCCUCAUUGGCAACAAAUGAGCAUAAGAAGUGCUGGUGAUGGUCAAAUUUCCAUCACUUUGGUGAGUAUCAAGCUGUAGCAGAUGAGAAAUGUCCAGAAGCAUUCGUUCCAAUGCAGCAAAAGUUUGAGUGGGGCCACCAAGAUUGGUCCGGAGUCUCGUAGAAAUACAGCACCUUGCCGCUUCAUUUAUAGCCCACCAGGCACCUGCAAGAAUAUUGGUAGAGCAGACUCUUUCAAGAAUAUCCCUCUCCACUUUGACGUCCCUCCACAAUCCAUUUACAUCAGCGUUUACCAAUUCCUCUGACUGUAUUAAAGGAUGGUCUUUCGAGUUCCGGCAGGAACAGAUUAACCGUUGAAUCCAAGAAGACAAAGGCACUUUCCAUCUCUGAGAAAUGUAACUCAAUAUGGAAACAAGUUGCUGUGAGCGAAGUUGAUGAGGUAGUUGCUUUAUGGCAAAGACUUGCUUCCAGUACAAAUUAGGCCUGUUUUUAACUCCACAAAUAACACUGCUAGAAGAAGUAAUCAUUCUACAAUCAUACAGACCAAAAACAUAUAUAGUAAUAGGCAGAACAUUGCAAAGCAACCUACCAAAUGCAUUUUUUAUAUCUUUUUCUGGGUCCCCAAGUUUCUCAAGGACAGUCUCAGCAAUGUACAGGAAGUGAGAGGGAUGGACAAGUUUUGCUUGCAGAAGCAUGUCUAGAACCAAUUUGACAAGAGAUCUUACUCUUGGUUCUCUGUCUGAUGCAGAAUCCAAAAUGGAGAACAGCAAAUUCUGCAUGACCUCUACAUAUCCCCAGACUUCACAAGGAUAAUGUGUUGCCUCCACAUUCUCAUAUGCACAGAUUACAUUUUUACAGAAUUUAGUUAUCCAUUCUAAGGCUUCUAUUUUAACAGCUAAAGGAGCAGCAGUGUCAAGAGCUUUAACAAGGAGAUUGGAGUAAUUUCUCAAAUACUCCAAAACUAGUAUUGGAUGUUGAUUUUUAAUAUUAUCCUCCUUCAUUGGCUUUGAAAGUGCAGGUUCUCUUGUAGAGCAACUAGUCAGAAACUCAACGUCACUCAGCCUUUGCAAUGUCUGCAAUACUGCUAGUUGCAGUUCUACAUAGGCUUCAAUAGGUAAGCUAAAAGGAUCUAAUUUCUCCACCAAAAAGGAUAAUAAUCUCUUUGACCUAUUAAGAUACAACGUGUCAACUUCUGUAACAUUCAUAUAGCGACUUCCACCUGGAGAAACACACGUUAACAAGACUUUCAAAUCAAAAUGGAUUAAAGCAAACAAUUCUGAUCGUGAAUAAGAUUUUUGAGCUGUAAUUCCAUCUCCAAUGCACCCCUCACCGCAUGUCUCUUUGAGCACAAUAGUCUUCAACAAAUCCAGCUCCUCAAUCAAGGAAUUGAUUGUCCUUUCAACAACUUCUUCAUUAACAUGCUGCAGUAAGAAGAUAUAGGUAGCAGCAGCACUUCCAGUUACUAACUGAUUUGGAUGCAGACGCAAUUGAGAUAUAGGGGCAUCAAAUCCUAUUAUCUUUUCAGCAGAUGAUGGGAGAAGCCCAUGCUUUUGAAGCGACAGCAACU